RNAcentral lists this ribosomal RNA (305 nucleotides) under uncultured bacterium. RNAcentral's name for it is "bacterial SSU rRNA". It matches the Rfam family "Bacterial small subunit ribosomal RNA", at positions 338 to 657 of the family's 1533-position model. The record is from RNAcentral.
CCUACGGGAGGCAGCAGUGGGGAAUAUUGCACAAUGGGGGGGACCCUGAUGCAGCAAUGCCGCGUGAAGGAUGAAGGUUUUCGGAUUGUAAACUUCUUUUGUACGGGACGAAGAAAGUGACGGUACCGUAAGAAUAAGCCACGGCUAACUACGUGCCAGCAGCCGCGGUAAUACGUAGGGGGCAAGCGUUAUCCGGAUUUACUGGGUGUAAAGGGAGCGCAGGCGGGAAGCCAAGUCAGCUGUGAAAACUACGGGCUUAACUUGUAGACUGCAGUUGAAACUGGUUUUCUUGAGUGAAGUAGAGG